CCAGGCUUGAACUGCGAGUGACACUCGGCGAAAGUCGACUUCCGCAAGGACGCUCGUAGAGGUGCUGCAUGGCUGUCGUCAGCUCGUGUCGUGAGAUGUUGGGUUAAGUCCCGCAACGAGCGCAACCCUCGUUCUCUGUUGCCAUCAGGUUAUGCUGGGCACUCUGAGGAGACUGCCGGUGAUAAACCGGAGGAAGGUGGGGAUGACGUCAAGUCAGCAUGGCCUUUAUGUCUGGGGCUACACACGUGCUACAAUGGCCGGUACAAACCGCUGCGAUCCCGCGAGGGGGAGCUAAUCGGAGAAAGCCGGUCUCAGUUCGGAUUGCAGGCUGCAACCCGCCUGCAUGAAGUUGGAAUCGCUAGUAAUCGCAGAUCAGCAGGCUGCGGUGAAUACGUUCCC
RNAcentral lists this ribosomal RNA (399 nucleotides) under uncultured bacterium. RNAcentral describes it as "bacterial SSU rRNA". It matches the Rfam family "Bacterial small subunit ribosomal RNA", at positions 975 to 1375 of the family's 1533-position model. The record is from RNAcentral.